AGCUUUUUGUUCCCCUAAAAAAAUUCCAUAUUCCCCCCACUUCCAGAAAUAAAACCAAAUCUUUCAAUGUCUUUUUUUGAUCCAUUUGGUCUGGGUCUUUAGUAGGGAAAAUUGUGCAAAUGACAACAGCUCAGUGAGAAGAGAGAAGCUGCUGGUUGUGCUGGACAGAGGACUCUGGGCAGCAAAAGGCUGAGUGGCUGCUGGUCAGAGGGAGUGUGACACACAUCUUGUCACUUUGCAGAGAGCAGCAGCUCCACUAGGCACCCUUCUGGAAACCGAGAGGUCAACGUCCCACACAGAGCAAUCUCCAACAGUUGUGCAUAACAGGCAAAAGAAUUUUAGAAGCAGUAUUCACCGAUAAAGAGAAUCACCAGCAAGGCUACAGAUAAUCAUCUGUGGGAAGUGGAAUUCCUUGACUUUGUUUACAGCCUCCAAGAAUCAAGGUCCUGGAGUUUAUCAGGAUGUCUCUGCAGCCACCAUCCACUGAAGGCAGCCUCCAGUAACCUCUGCAGGAAACUGCCACUAACAAGUCAGACAUGUCCAGGAACUGAAGUCUGGAAAAGCUUCUAACUUCAAGAUCUUUACAGUGUUUUCCUAAACUGGGAAGCUGACCUUUGUCUCUUGGAGUCAUUCUGGACAUUGCUGGCAUCGUCAGCUGUCCAACAAUUUUGAGAAAAUCAGUUCAUCCAUAGCUUCUGCACCAGCUACUUGCAUGGGAGAAGGACACUAUUAAAAUUCUCCCUGGAGAGCUGCUGAAUUUAGAACAGUGAAAAAAAACAGGAUGGUGCUGAGGAAAAGGAUUUUCUUCUAGUGGGAAAAAUGCUCAGAAGAACUUUUGUGACAGUGUAAAUGAGACAAAAAGGUUUUAGUUUCCUUGCUGAAGGUUUUUGGCAGCAAGAUGAGACCUCUGCACUGCAUACUUCAAAUAUGAGGGAAAACUGAACUGUGGAAGGGUCUAUUAUUUUUAUUGUCUAUAAAAAUGACUAAAGGUGACUUGUCCA
Cyanistes caeruleus (blue tit) is the source of this 1001-nucleotide long non-coding RNA. RefSeq lists it as uncharacterized. The record is from RefSeq and is a predicted model, not a curated record. NCBI's taxonomy places the organism in Eukaryota, Metazoa, Chordata, Aves, Passeriformes, Paridae.